UACAGAGGUCUCAAGCGUUGUUCGGAUUCAUUGGGCGUAAAGGGCGUGUAGGCGGUCUGUUAAGUCUGGCGUGAAAGCUCUCGGCUAAACCGGGAGAGGUCGUUGGAUACUGGCAAGACUAGAGGAUGGUAGAGGCGUGUGGAAUUCCGGGUGUAGUGGUGAAAUGCGUAGAUAUCUGGAGGAACACCGGUGGCGAAGGCGGCGUUCUGGACUGCUACUGACACUGAGGAACGAAAGCCAGGGGAGCAAACGGG
This 254-nucleotide ribosomal RNA is filed under the name uncultured bacterium. Its description in RNAcentral is "partial 16S ribosomal RNA". It matches the Rfam family "Bacterial small subunit ribosomal RNA", at positions 524 to 776 of the family's 1533-position model. The record is from RNAcentral.